CGAACCCGGAAGCUAAGACUCUCAGCGCCGAUGGUACUGCAAGGGGGACCUUGUGGGAGAGUAGGACACCGCCGGAC
This 77-nucleotide ribosomal RNA is filed under the name Frigoribacterium sp. VKM Ac-2530. The record is from RNAcentral. Lineage: Bacteria; Bacillati; Actinomycetota; Actinomycetes; Micrococcales; Microbacteriaceae.